GAUUUCAAUAACAUCAGCAGCCUCUUACGACUGGCGCACGGCUCAGGUUGUGCUGAAGAGAUGGUCCCCCGUGGCAGCUUCCAGACUACGUGGAGCCGAGGUAACAUCGCAAGCCAGACAGCUGUCGGAUUCACCAUUUCACCUGGGGGCAACAGGAAUUUCCAAGUUGACUCCAGAUGUGAGAUGUUGUCCAGCUCUUCCUUCCAAGUCGGAAUCCAAGUAUUUCAAUAUGGCAUAGCCCAGAUGUGAUGUUACCAAUAUAAAUCGUAUAUAUUUACCUAGCUUAUUACGUAUAAAAAAGAAGUUCUUACAACUUGAUACUGUCAAAAUAUGUAACAGCCCAUUCAACCUGUUCCUAGAAAUGCCAUGGAUACAUGUAUAAAUUCUUGUGCAGUGAAUAUAAAGUGAUUCACUGUAGAACACUUAAUGACCUUUCAACUAUAAGUAUUCCCUGGAGGGGUUGAAGUGGGCACUGAUAAUAACAGAUUAGACCUCUCAUAUACCGUGCCAUAAAAACAGAGUUAGUGGGCGCCACUAGUCCGCACUAAAGCCAUGCCGAAUAACAUGAGUAAAAUCAGGCACACAACCUUUACGUAUGUCUCCAUUACUCUACAUAUUACCAGCCCACAAACAGUUAACACAUAACGAUUAUUAUGUUGAACGGAGAUGUGGUUUUCUGGCAGGUGCUCAAGAUUUUUCCGCGAAGAGCUUUUUAUAAUGGUUGUAUUAUUUUGGAUUACGUCUCAAGCUCCUUUGUGGAAAGGUUAUGAUGAUUACCUUAGCAAUCUGCAUAGGGCUUACUAAUAAUGCCAUCCGCAUGGGCAGAUAGAAGUUAAUACUAUAAUAUGAAGGGUGUAGACAUUCCACAUUGAUAUUACAUAGAUGUCUACACAAUGUCUGCUUUCAACUGAAGUAAUAUAUUGUACCUUAUAAUAUGUAUAGCACCAUUCCCAUACAAAAGACAACUACAAAUGUAUUUCUGUUGCUUCUUUGGUACAUAUUUCUACAUGAUGUAAGCAUAGGAAACUUUAAAAUUUAGUAAAAAAAUUU
Molecule: long non-coding RNA, 1050 nt
Organism: Branchiostoma belcheri (Belcher's lancelet)
Lineage: Eukaryota; Metazoa; Chordata; Leptocardii; Amphioxiformes; Branchiostomatidae
Exons: 3
Source: RefSeq, a predicted model, not a curated record